This is a long non-coding RNA of Macaca fascicularis (crab-eating macaque), 1744 nucleotides long. NCBI's taxonomy places the organism in Eukaryota, Metazoa, Chordata, Mammalia, Primates, Cercopithecidae. The record is from Ensembl.
GGUGGCGCAUGCCUGUAAUCCCAGCUACUCAGGAGGCUGAGGCAGGAGAAUUGCUUGAACCUAGGAGAUGGAGGUUGCGGUGAGCAAUUGCACUCCAGCCUGGGCAACAAGAGCAAAACUCGGUCUCAAAAAAAAAGAGAGAGAGAGAGACCCUCUGAAAGAGUGUUCAGCCCCACACCAGUCCUGUGGGAGUAGACAGGAGGAGAAAGUGGAGGAGUGAGGCAGGAAGGCCAGGGCAGGUCUGUGCAGGCGGUGGGGUGAGGGAUGGGUAGGAGAAGAGGCUGGAGGCCUGAAUCCUGGCAGGAGUGGUGGGGAGAAAGAAGGGAUGACUAGGUGAGCUGGGGGAGAGAGGAGGAGGGCAGAAUGUUGGGGGGUUCCAGGGCUUCUGUCCCCAGUGCCUGGGAAGAUGGGCAUGGAGGCGCCCUACACUGAACUGGGGCAUGGGGCAUGGGUGGUGAGGCCGGCUUCAGGGUAGCAUGCCUUUGAGACAUCUGAGAGAGAGGUCCGCCCCCAAGGGAAGGAUCCAGACCUGUCCGCAAACAGAUGCUGGCAGCAGCUCAGGAAAACCAAGGGAUAGGUGGGAAGGCAAAGGGUCUGAAGGGAAUGCUGGGGAACAGGGGAAUUUGAGGGGUCAAAGUGAGCAAACCCCCGUCCAUAAGAGGAGAGACCCCAAAGAAUCCCACAGACAAGCCCUAAGCCCAGAGAAGGCAGUGUCACAGCGCAACACUUCACCUCGAGGGAACUGGUCUAAGGGUUCUGGAAUUCACUUAUCACUUCCCUGAUGGCUCCCAUGCCCCUCCCCUGUACUUAUCCAAAGGGUCCACGAAGGCCAAGUGGCUCACACCUGUAAUCCCAGCACUUUGGGAGGAUCGUUUGAGCCCAGGAGUUUGAGACCAGCCUGGGCAACAUAGUGAGACCCCAUCUCUACAAAAAAAUUUUUUUAAUUAGCUGAGUGUAGUAGUGCCUGUCUACAGCCACAGCUCCUCAGGAGGCUGAGGUGGGAGGAUCCCUUGAGGAGGCAGAGGUUACAAUGAGCUGAGAUCACACCACUGGACUCUACCCUGGGUGACAGAGCAAGACCCUGUCUCAAAAAAGAAAUAAGUAAGGAAAAAUGAAAGGGUUCACCCACCACUGGACAAUUAGCCCAUGGCCGCCUGUCGGGAGAAUACAGCCAACCUUAGGGAGGAGAUGGAGAGACAGGAACAGCAAUAAGCAGCAUCUGGCUGGCUGGGGUGGGGCCUGGAGAUGGGAGACCCGACUGGCUCACUCAACUUUCUCUUCACCACUCACAGGACCUGGGCCUUGAGGGGACCCUCCUUACUGACAUCCUCUACAGAGAUGUGGCCUUCCUCAACCUGGUCGACCCCAUCUCCCAUGACCUGCUUGUGAACCUGGCCACCACCCCUGCCUCCACCUGGGACUCCACAGCUGCUGGGCUGGGACCCGAACCCCAGGCCUGCUGCACCAGGUGACCCACCACCCACCUGGCUCAUUGCUACUGACUUGUGAUGCUCUCAAGCACAUGGUAGUGGGCCAUGAAGGUCGAGGAGGACUCACAGGCCCCCAGAGAUCCAGUGCAAAUGCUCAGCCUGAGAUUAAGGGGACAGAAGGAGAAUGGACUCAUAGGAGGCCAGGAGGCCAGCCCCGGCUAGAGGCUCAGGCUUCCCUCAGUGGGAGGAGCCCCAACACCCAUAGUGUGGACCCCACAAUAAAGAGUGACACCCGCCUCUGCUUUUCUGCAUCA